RNAcentral lists this long non-coding RNA (1915 nucleotides) under Eutrema salsugineum. RNAcentral's name for it is "long non-coding RNA (ESAL_LNC000069)". Lineage: Eukaryota; Viridiplantae; Streptophyta; Magnoliopsida; Brassicales; Brassicaceae. The record is from RNAcentral.
CGUUUUUAUAAAACAAGUCUCUCUUUCAAAAAAAAACUCUAACCUUUUCGUUUUUCUUCACUCUUUCGCCUCUCCGAUUACCAGCACUUUUUGUCGGUGUCGUGAGAGGGCUUCUUUUUCUUUGCCUGUGGUUAGGCCUCAGCUCUGGUUCUUUUGGUGGCUUUGUCAUGCUUUCCGGCGAGGUGGCUUUGAGUUGUCGAUGGUGGAAGGUGGAAGUCGCCUGCAGAUCCAGAUCUGACGAGGACUAGGGUUCGGUGAUGCUUCCUCUUUGGCUUCCGUCGGAAUCCUCGACGUCUCCGCUGUUAUAGUUCUGGUGCUGCUCAGCCGUCGUCAAGGUGGAGAUGCGAGCCUAUGGGUUGCCGAGAUGCGUUAAGGAUUGUUGAGUAAGCUCGCUUUUUUGAAGACAUCAGCGGGUUUUGAAAAGAAUUCUUGGAGGAGUUGAUUUAGGGCAUUCGCGGAGUGAUGGCGUCUUCUUUGGUUGCAGGUUUUUGCGAUUAGGGCUUCUCGUUUUCCACCCAAUUUUACAGAUUUUGCCUUUUUGGAUCGGGUUGUGUCUUUCCAGGUUCAUUAUAGGUUACAGAUAAGGUUUUCUCACUUAUUUUUUUUUUUUCCUUUCUAGACUUUUAGUAUUUAAUUUCAAAUCUGCUUAGGUUUAAUAUGUGUAAUUGGAAAAAACAAAAGAAUUUUGAUAUGACAAUCCUUUAACAAAAAAAUAUAUAUAGAAAAAAAGAUAAGAAUAUUUUGGAGUUAGAAGGGAAAAGAGUUGAUGACAAAAAUAAAUCAAAAUAUGUAGUUUAGUUCUAGUGUCGUCAACAUGUCAUUAUCUAGAUUUAAAAUAUACCUGAUGAUAAAACAAGCUGAUUAAAUUAGAGCUCCACCAAAUAAUGAUGUCAUCGGCGGCUAGGUAAGUCACUAUAUAUAUUUGUUACUAAUUAAAAGCAACAUUGUAGAUGUUAACGUAAUCACGGUCGUAAUAUGCUCUAAUGAUGCGAACUCCGGAAAGCAGUGACAAAAGAUCCAUUACCUAACAAAAGUAGGAAACUCUAUUGUGAUUUGAACAAUCAUCAAACAGUUUAUCCCAUUAUAAUUUGUUCGCUAGAUAUAGAUAUACAGUUACGAAUCAAACAUAAUAAAAAAAAGGACAAAAGACAAAUCACGACCACCUCCCGUUGAAUUAUUUUUCAAGUUAAUGUCGACAAUCUUUGACAAAAAAAGUUAAUCCCGACAUUUAUGGUGUUAAAUUAUGUCUUAUAAAUCCGAUCAGGUAUUGUGAAUGUAUUGGAUCAUAUGUGAUACUUCACACUAUUUUAAUUCUACUAAAAAUAGAUGAAUCAACAAAGACAUAUAUCCGGUUGACAAUAUAACCUCGAGAAGAAAAUAUAUAUAUAAAACAGCUAAACGUAAUCGAUACAUUAUAAGGAUGUGGUGAAAGUCGACCUGACAUUUUUAUGAAGUGAUUAAUGAAUAUUGUGUACUCUAUAAUUCUAUAUAUUCUGAACUUAAAUCUAUGGCGAAAGUAUACUGAAUGGACCUGAUUUCGCAGUCUAGUUUCUAUUAUUUUUCUUUUUUACUUCUACCGUCACUAUUACGGUUUUUGCUUAAGUCUUUUUCUAGCCAUAUAUAAGUCAUUUAUAAAUUCAUGCAAUAUUGCAAUGGACAAUUUAUGUGUCUUCAAAUAUGACAUAUGAGGAGAUGAGAAAGAAUCGAAUCAUUGACAAUUAUUGUUUGUGUGAUUCUGCAGAAACUGGAGAACACUUCACGUUCUUUGCACACGUGUAUGUCCAAUAUCGCACGCCAUGUUAACCGGGAUUCCAAAUGUUUUAGAAUGUGUCCAGAGAUUACCACGUGGAAACCGGUUAGUAGAAAACCGGAAUCGAAAUAUACGCUUCUAAAAGUCAUCAUCUUGAUAGUUGAU